Ipomoea triloba (trilobed morning glory) is the source of this 371-nucleotide long non-coding RNA. RefSeq lists it as uncharacterized. The record is from RefSeq and is a predicted model, not a curated record. NCBI's taxonomy places the organism in Eukaryota, Viridiplantae, Streptophyta, Magnoliopsida, Solanales, Convolvulaceae. The transcript has 2 exons.
AAUUUUUUUACGACCUUUGCUAAAAAAAAUUCUUACAAAACCAUUGUGGAAUCACAUCUACGCAAAAAAAAAAAAUCUACAACGACGUUCAGGUUAUUGAUCAAGUGAUCUGUUGCUCAUUUGUUUGAGUCAAUUUCAAUAGCCGCACUUCUCAAACUGUGAGUUAAAAAUUACACCUUUGCACACCUCUUUUAAUUGUAAAAACUUAUUUCUAUUCUUACAAAAUUAUUUAUAUUUAUAUUCAUUUAUGCUUAUUUAUUUUUUAUGUCGCAUUUAGCCAUUUAGGUGGAAUUUAGUUUGCUUCUCAGCAAAUAUUGAGCAAGUUAUCUACUACUCAUUUGUUUAAUAAUUUAAACCCCUACAACAAACAA